AUAACUAAAAUAUUUGAAGAUAUGCAAUACUUUUUGUAUACAUUUCAUUCGUGAUAGACCAAUUUAAAAAGAAAAAUAAAAAUACAGCAGGAGUUUUUGUGCUUCAUAUCUCCCAUCUCCUUAGCAAAGGGUGCACCAUCUCAAUUAAUGAACACCGAUAUAGAAGAGACAUAUGACAGUGGUGAUCAUAGCAAUCAGAUACCUAUUAUUGGUAUUGCAGAGAAGUUACAGAAAGAACAUGUGUUAGUUUAUAACAGACAACAGCAUAAAUGGUGUAACAACACAAACUGCUAAUACCUUGUUUUAUGCAGAUUACAUGCAUUGGAUGAUGGAGCACUUGGUGUUGGGGACACUGAGGGAGCAGGGGUUGGAGCAGGAGGUUCAUACUUUCCUGUCAACAUUCAAAAGGAUCAAUACCAUAAUAUCAUACCUUUUCAAAAUCAUCAUUCAAAAGACAAAGUUUGUAAAGAGUGGUCAAAAAAACAGUAGAAAAAACUUAUGAAGAUGCACUAACCACAAAGAAGGAGAUUUGGUGGAGGAGGCUUCUCUUUGGCAGGGUUGGGAUCAGCAUCNNN
Molecule: long non-coding RNA, 575 nt
Filed under: Vigna radiata
Lineage: Eukaryota; Viridiplantae; Streptophyta; Magnoliopsida; Fabales; Fabaceae
Description: long non-coding RNA (VRAD_LNC009195)
Source: RNAcentral